Molecule: ribosomal RNA, 468 nt
Filed under: uncultured bacterium
Lineage: Bacteria
Description: partial 16S ribosomal RNA
Rfam family: Bacterial small subunit ribosomal RNA
Source: RNAcentral
GACGAACGCUGGCGGCGUGCUUAACACAUGCAAGUCGAACGGUAAUUCCCUGCUGUUGUGGGGUGCUCGAGUGGCGAACGGGUGAGUAACAGGUGGGUUACCUGCCCUGGACUUUGGGAUAACGUCAGGAAACUGGGGCGAAUACCGGAUAGGAUCUCGUGCUGCAGUGUGUGGGGUGUAAAGUUUGGGCGGGUGGGGAUGGAGUCGGGGCUUAUCAGCUUGUUGGUGGGGGAGUGGCUUACCAAGGCUGUGACGGGUAGCCGGCCUGAGCGGGUGAACGGCCACAUUGCGCCUGCGAUACGCACCAGUAUGCUACGGGAGGCAGCAGUGGGGAGUAUUGCCCAAUGGGCGGAAGCCUGAUGCAGAAACGCCGCGUGCGGGAUGACGGCCUUCGGGUUGUAAACCGCUUCCGCAUGUGCCGAAGCGUGAGUGACGGUAAUGAGUAAAGAAGCAACGGCUAACUACGUG